RNAcentral lists this ribosomal RNA (403 nucleotides) under Verrucomicrobiota bacterium. RNAcentral describes it as "Verrucomicrobia bacterium partial 16S ribosomal RNA". It matches the Rfam family "Bacterial small subunit ribosomal RNA", at positions 355 to 776 of the family's 1533-position model. Lineage: Bacteria; Pseudomonadati; Verrucomicrobiota. The record is from RNAcentral.
UGGGGAAUAUUGCACAAUGGGCGCAAGCCUGAUGCAGCAACGCCGCGUGAACGAUGAAGGUCUUCGGAUCGUAAAGUUCUGUUGCAGGGGAAGAUAAUGACGGUACCCUGUGAGGAAGCCCCGGCUAACUACGUGCCAGCAGCCGCGGUAAUACGUAGGGGGCUAGCGUUAUCCGGAUUUACUGGGCGUAAAGGGUGCGUAGGUGGUCCUUCAAGUCGGUGGUUAAAGGCUACGGCUCAACCGUAGUAAGCCGCCGAAACUGGAGGACUUGAGUGCAGGAGAGGAAAGUGGAAUUCCCAGUGUAGCGGUGAAAUGCGUAGAUAUUGGGAGGAACACCAGUAGCGAAGGCGGCUUUCUGGACUGCAACUGACACUGAGGCGCGAAAGCGUGGGGAGCAAACAGG